GACGAACGCUGGCGGCGUGCUUAACACAUGCAAGUCGAACGGAAAGGCCCUGCUUUUGUGGGGUGCUCGAGUGGCGAACGGGUGAGUAACACGUGAGUAACCUGCCCUUGACUUUGGGAUAACUUCAGGAAACUGGGGCUAAUACCGGAUAGGAGCUCCUGCUGCAUGGUGGGGGUUGGAAAGUUUCGGCGGUUGGGGAUGGACUCGCGGCUUAUCAGCUUGUUGGUGGGGUAGUGGCUUACCAAGGCUGUGACGGGUAGCCGGCCUGAGAGGGUGACCGGCCACAUUGGGACUGCGAUACGGCCCAGACUCCUACGGGAGGCAGCAGUGGGGAAUCUUGCACAAUGGGCGGACGCCUGAUGCAGCAACGCCGCGUGCGGGAUGACGGCCUUCGGGUUGUAAACCGCUUUCGCCUGUGACGAAGCGUGAGUGACGGUAAUGGGUAAAGAAGCACCGGCUAACUACGUG
This 468-nucleotide ribosomal RNA is filed under the name uncultured bacterium. RNAcentral's name for it is "partial 16S ribosomal RNA". It matches the Rfam family "Bacterial small subunit ribosomal RNA", at positions 28 to 507 of the family's 1533-position model. The record is from RNAcentral.